UAUGCUCAGAAACUGAAGAGCGACAAAUUUUUAGUUAUAAGGAAUAUAUAGACACGUUUUUCAUACAUCUUUAGUCUAAAAAUCCUCUUCGGCAAAGUCGAAUAUAAUAAUAAUUUAGUUUCAAAGAAACUGCCAAAAGAAAGAGUGGAAGUGGAAUUGAAGAGUAAUAUGGUUUUUUAAAAAGCCCCAUACGAAAGUAAACAAAGUUUCUCUCUUUUUUCUGUUCCCUAUCUAGAUUUUUCACAGAGAAAGAUGAGAGAUGAAUUUUUUUGUCGCUGGCUCUCUUUCGACUUAUUUCCCUGUGUGUAGGGCUUUUGACUCCAGGAAGAAGUGGCUUUCAUAGCACCUGCGAUGCUGGCUUUCGACUUCGGGAUGCAGUAGUUCUCAGCACCAUUCUUGUUGGCUUAAUCUUGGGUUUUCCCAGUGGAAAUCGUCGUUUCUUGUUGUCUUUACUCAUCUGCCUCUCAAUCUGUCUCUCCGAACUUUUCUCCUCCGUUUGAACUGUUUCACCUUCAAACUUAUUCUCAUCAUUAAAGGUGACCGGUUGUUCAUGCAGGAAUCUCGAAAUGGUUGGAUUGAUUGAGGCAUUCGGAUUGGCCGCGAAAGACAAUUCUGGAGUUCUCUCGCCUUUCCGUUUCUCUAGAAGGUUUUCUUUUUUAUAGAAGAAUGAAUUGAUCUGUAUCAAUGAUCCUAUAUAAUAUUUUGUUUUAAUCAAAAAUAAGUUUUGGUCGAA
This is a long non-coding RNA of Raphanus sativus (radish), 733 nucleotides long. RefSeq lists it as uncharacterized. The record is from RefSeq and is a predicted model, not a curated record. NCBI's taxonomy places the organism in Eukaryota, Viridiplantae, Streptophyta, Magnoliopsida, Brassicales, Brassicaceae. The transcript is spliced from 2 exons.